GCCUAUUGGAUGUUAAUUUGAACAUAGAAUGAUCUAAUGAUAGUUUUGGGCUGUCUUGUUGCAUCAUAGGGAUUACAAAUCUGUUGUAGCCCAUCCUUCUUGGGGAUCCCCUCUUUUAACAGCCUAUUGGAUGUUAAUUUCAACAUUAAUGGAUCUAGGGCUAAUAAAUCUGGUGAAGUUGUCAACUAUUGACAUUAAAAUCCAUGUCUUAGUUUUAUUGAUCAGCUGAAGGCAAGACUGACUUUUUGCUUGGGGUUGGAGGGUUCUAAUGGGGAUUAUCCUGUGUAACAAUAAUGUAUAUCAUUAUCUCUAAGCUUCAGCUGAGAUAGGCUGAACAAACCUCAUCUUCCUUAUCUUGUAACCCUAUUUUUAUACAGCUCAAUGCAAUAAACAAUACACAGUAUUACACAAGCAUUUACUGGUUCACCAUGGGAAAUUUUUUUCUUACCACAAAUGUUAUUCCUUUUCCUUGUUUCUUUUGUUAGUUGAGCAGGCUUUUGUGGAUUUUAUUGUUUGAACAACUGCUGGCUCUUAUUUUUGUUACUUAUCUAACACUUUAAGAAAAGGCCAGUUUGUACUGUAUCAAGUGAUGAUUUUCUGAUUCUUUAUUCCUUUCAUGAGUUAGUUCUCCUCUUCAAGGAUACAUUGACGUUAAUGAUCCUUGGCUGAUUAAUAUGCUACUUUUCUUCUGUUCUCUUUUCUUGCUAUUCAACUGGACCUUAUUCUAAUUCAUGAAAAAGCUUUGCCUUGGCCAGCCAUGCAACUUUGGGCCUAUA
This 776-nucleotide unclassified non-coding RNA is filed under the name Hevea brasiliensis (rubber tree). Lineage: Eukaryota; Viridiplantae; Streptophyta; Magnoliopsida; Malpighiales; Euphorbiaceae. The record is from RNAcentral.